GGAUGAACGCUGGCUACAGGCUUAACACAUGCAAGUCGAGGGGAAACGACGGGGAAGCUUGCUUCCCCGGGCGUCGACCGGCGCACGGGUGAGUAACGCGUAUCCAACCUGCCUCUGACUGAGGGAUAACCCGUCGAAAGUCGGCCUAAUACCUCAUGGCAUCGUCUGCGGGCAUCCAACGACGAUUAAAGAUUUCAUCGGUCAGGGAUGGGGAUGCGUCUGAUUAGCUUGUUGGCGGGGUAACGGCCCACCAAGGCUACGAUCAGUAGGGGUUCUGAGAGGAAGGUCCCCCACAUUGGAACUGAGACACGGUCCAAACUCCUACGGGAGGCAGCAGUGAGGAAUAUUGGUCAAUGGGCGGGAGCCUGAACCAGCCAAGUAGCGUGCAGGAUGACGGCCCUAUGGGUUGUAAACUGCUUUUAUGCGGGGAUAAAGUGAGGGACGUGUCCUUCAUUGCAGGUACCGCAUGAAUAAGGACCGGCUAAUUCCGUG
RNAcentral lists this ribosomal RNA (492 nucleotides) under uncultured bacterium. RNAcentral's name for it is "partial 16S ribosomal RNA". It matches the Rfam family "Bacterial small subunit ribosomal RNA", at positions 27 to 507 of the family's 1533-position model. The record is from RNAcentral.